UUGNANUGGGGGCACCCUGAUCCAGCAAUGCCGCGUGAGUGAAGAAGGCCUUCGGGUUGUAAAGCUCUUUUGUCAGGGAAGAAACGGUGACCUCUAAUAUAGGUUGCUAAUGACGGUACCUGAAGAAUAAGCACCGGCUAACUACGUGCCAGCAGCCGCGGUAAUACGUAGGGUGCAAGCGUUAAUCGGAAUUACUGGGCGUAAAGCGUGCGCAGGCGGUUAUGUAAGUCAGAUGUGAAAUCCCCGGGCUUAACCUGGGAAUGGCAUUUGAGACUGCAUGGCUAGAGUGUGUCAGAGGGGGGUAGAAUUCCACGUGUAGCAGUGAAAUGCGUAGAGAUGUGGAGGAAUACCGAUGGCGAAGGCAGCCCCCUGGGAUAACACUGACGCUCAUGCACGAAAGCGUGGGGAGCAAACAGGAUUAGAUACCCUGGUAGUCCACGCCCUAAACGAUGUCUACUAGUUGUCGGGUCUUAAUUGACUUGGUAACGCAGCUAACGCGUGAAGUAGACCGCCUGGGGAGUACGGUCGCAAGAUUAAAACUCAAAAAAAUUGACGGA
Molecule: ribosomal RNA, 557 nt
Filed under: uncultured bacterium
Lineage: Bacteria
Description: bacterial SSU rRNA
Rfam family: Bacterial small subunit ribosomal RNA
Source: RNAcentral